This 104-nucleotide transfer RNA is filed under the name Nitrososphaerota archaeon. RNAcentral's name for it is "Thaumarchaeota archaeon tRNA-OTHER". It matches the Rfam family "tRNA". From Rfam's summary of the family: Transfer RNA (tRNA) molecules are approximately 80 nucleotides in length. Their secondary structure includes four short double-helical elements and three loops (D, anti-codon, and T loops). The record is from RNAcentral. Lineage: Archaea; Thermoproteati; Nitrososphaerota.
GCCGCUGUAGCUCAGCAUGGUAGAGCAAAUUCAUAUGUGAUUUCACAUUGGAGUUCAGCUGGCUGUUAACCAGUGGGUCAUCAGUUCGAGUCUGAUCAGCGGCG